RNAcentral lists this ribosomal RNA (324 nucleotides) under uncultured eukaryote. RNAcentral's name for it is "partial 18S ribosomal RNA". It matches the Rfam family "Eukaryotic small subunit ribosomal RNA", at positions 1470 to 1796 of the family's 1831-position model. The record is from RNAcentral.
CCCUUAGAUGUCCUGGGCUGCACGCGCGCUACACUGAUGUGUCCAGUAAGCACCUAACCUCUUCCGAAAGGAACGGGUAACCUUUGCAAAGCACAUCGUGAUGGGGAUAGAUUAUUGCAAUUAUUAGUCAUGAACGAGGAAUUCCUAGUAAGCACAAGUCAUCAGCUUGUGUUGAUUACGUCCCUGCCCUUUGUACACACCGCCCGUCGCUCCUACCGAUUGAAUGUUCCGGUGAGCUCUUCGGACUGCGCGGUCUGCAGUUUCUGCGUUCCGUGCGGAAAGUUGCGCAAACCUUAACAUUUAGAGGAAGGAGAAGUCGUAACA